UUCUGAGCGGUCUGGGCACCGUUUCGUUGCAGCAGCAGUUGCGAAAAUUCAUAAGUAAGAAGAAGUUCUGGGAAGAACUAACAACUGAUGUUCUUCCCAAUAUAGGCAUACAGUUUGAUACAAGUGGUGCAAAACUUUUUUAUGUGUGAAUGGUUUCCAGACUAGCUUGGGCACUACCCAAUCUCCAGUGUUGGAAUCAGUCACCAUUAUACCAGAAUACGACCUGUUGGGAAUCGUAGACUCGCACAAUGCAAUAAUGUACACAUUGCCAGUAACGUUGCCCCGUGGUGACGCAACAACAGAGGAGCUGUUAGGCAACACUUUCCUGCUGUGACAUAACAGCGGCCACUGCUGCCGCUGCUAGGGUAACAGGCCAGUAAACACUCCCCCGCUGUUAUGUCACAGCGGGGAGCUGCUAGGCAACAGGCCACUAAACACUUCCCUGCUGUGACAUAACAGUGGACGCUGCUGCUGCUGCUAGGGAAACAGGCAACAGUAUAAGAAGCUAGCUGAGGACCAAGUGUGGCAGUGUGUGUUGACAGAAGCCAGUGGUUAGCCAGCAUGGAGAGACAGACAGUUCUACAUUCUAGUGAGAGUUGUUAACGCCAAAGGAGUGACUGUGAAACGACUUGUUCAGCAUUUUGUGUUAGUUACGGCAUUGAGUAAUAAAGUUACAUCACAAGAAUA
Cryptotermes secundus is the source of this 687-nucleotide long non-coding RNA. RefSeq lists it as uncharacterized. The record is from RefSeq and is a predicted model, not a curated record. The transcript has 2 exons. Lineage: Eukaryota; Metazoa; Arthropoda; Insecta; Blattodea; Kalotermitidae.